GAGGGUAGAGCUCAGAGGUAGAGUGCAUGUCUAGCAUGCGUGAGGUCCUGGGUUCAAUUCCCAGUACCUCUA
RNAcentral lists this transfer RNA (72 nucleotides) under Camelus bactrianus (Bactrian camel). It matches the Rfam family "tRNA". Rfam says of the family: Transfer RNA (tRNA) molecules are approximately 80 nucleotides in length. Their secondary structure includes four short double-helical elements and three loops (D, anti-codon, and T loops). The record is from Rfam by way of RNAcentral. RNAcentral also lists the same sequence under 1 other name. Lineage: Eukaryota; Metazoa; Chordata; Mammalia; Artiodactyla; Camelidae.